UUAAACGUGGGGCGGGAUGCUUUACCAUGCAGUCGAACGGCAGCACGGGUGCUUGCACCUGGUGGCGAGUGGCGAACGGGUGAGUAAUAUAUCGGAACGUAUCCGGAAGUGGGGGAUAGCUCGGCGAAAGCCGGAUUAAUACCGCAUAUGCCCUGAGGGGGAAAGGGGGGGAUCCGCAAGGACCUCUCGCUCUCGGAGUGGCCGAUAUCAGAUUAGCUAGUUGGUGGGGUAAAGGCCUACCAAGGCGACGAUCUGUAGCGGGUCUGAGAGGAUGAUCCGCCACACUGGGACUGAGACACGGCCCAGACUCCUACGGGAGGCAGCAGUGGGGAAUUUUGGACAAUGGGCGAAAGCCUGAUCCACCAUGCCGCGUGAGUGAAGAAGGCCUUCGGGUUGUAAAGCUCUUUCAGAUGGGAAGAAACGGACACGGCUAAUAACUGUGUCUAAUGACGGUACUGUCAGAAGAGCACCGGCUAACUACGUGCCACAGCCCGGUAAUACGUAGGGUGCGAGCGUUAUCGGAAUUACUGGGCCGUAAGCGUGCGCAGGCGGUUUUGUAAGACAGGUGUGAAAUCCCCGGGGCUUAGCCGGGGA
RNAcentral lists this ribosomal RNA (594 nucleotides) under uncultured bacterium. RNAcentral's name for it is "bacterial SSU rRNA". It matches the Rfam family "Bacterial small subunit ribosomal RNA", at positions 29 to 620 of the family's 1533-position model. The record is from RNAcentral.